GCCUACGGGGGGCAGCAGUAGGGAAUUUUCGUCAAUGGGCGCAAGCCUGAACGAGCAAUGCCGCGUGAACGAGGAAGGUCUUCGGGUCGUAAAGUUCUGUUGAAGGGGAAAAAGAGCGGAGAGAGGAAGUGGUCUCCGAUUGAUAUUACCCUUCGAGGAAGUCACGGCUAACUACGUGCCAGCAGCCGCGGUAAUACGUAGGUGGCGAGCGUUAUCCGGAAUGAUUGGGCGUAAAGGGUGCGUAGGCGGCCUGCUAAGCCUGGAGUGAAAGGUACCGGCUCAACCGGUACAGGCUCUGGAAACUG
RNAcentral lists this ribosomal RNA (305 nucleotides) under uncultured bacterium. RNAcentral describes it as "bacterial SSU rRNA". It matches the Rfam family "Bacterial small subunit ribosomal RNA", at positions 337 to 635 of the family's 1533-position model. The record is from RNAcentral.